RNAcentral lists this transfer RNA (72 nucleotides) under Ovis aries (sheep). It matches the Rfam family "tRNA". Rfam says of the family: Transfer RNA (tRNA) molecules are approximately 80 nucleotides in length. The record is from Rfam by way of RNAcentral. Lineage: Eukaryota; Metazoa; Chordata; Mammalia; Artiodactyla; Bovidae.
UCCCAGGUGGUCUAGUGGUUAGGACUCUGCAGUUCCACUGCAGGGGCACAAGUUCAAUCCCUGGUUGGGGAA